UACGAAGGGGGCUAGCGUUGCUCGGAAUCACUGGGCGUAAAGCGCACGUAGGCGGCUUCUUAAGUCAGGGGUGAAAUCCUGGAGCUCAACUCCAGAACUGCCCUUGAUACUGAGGAGCUCGAGUCCGGAAGAGGUGAGUGGAACUGCGAGUGUAAAGGUGAAAUUCGUAGAUAUUCGCAAGAACACCAGUGGCGAAGGCGGCUCACUGGUCCGGUACUGACGCUGAGGUGCGAAAGCGUGGGGAGCAAACAGG
Molecule: ribosomal RNA, 253 nt
Filed under: uncultured bacterium
Lineage: Bacteria
Description: partial 16S ribosomal RNA
Rfam family: Bacterial small subunit ribosomal RNA
Source: RNAcentral